GAUAAACGCUGGCGGCGUGCCUAAUGCAUGCAAGUCGAACGGAGCGGACUUCGGUUCGUUCAGUGGCGGACGGGUGAGGAACACGUACGAGACCUGCCCUGUGGUGGGGAAUAACCCUUCGAAAGAGGGGCUAACGCCGCAUACGCUCGUUGGGGUGAUACCUGAUGAGGAAAGCCGAGAGGUGCCAGAGGAGGGGCGUGCGGCCCGAUUAGGCUCGUUGGUGGGGUAACGGCCUACCAAGGCNGCGAUCGGUAGCUGGUCUGAGAGGAUGGACAGCCACACU
RNAcentral lists this ribosomal RNA (283 nucleotides) under uncultured bacterium. RNAcentral describes it as "partial 16S ribosomal RNA". It matches the Rfam family "Bacterial small subunit ribosomal RNA", at positions 28 to 314 of the family's 1533-position model. The record is from RNAcentral.